Molecule: long non-coding RNA, 1657 nt
Organism: Coturnix japonica (Japanese quail)
Lineage: Eukaryota; Metazoa; Chordata; Aves; Galliformes; Phasianidae
Source: Ensembl
GGGAAUGCAGUCAUGUGAUCAUGGCGGACCAAUCAGAGAGCGGGGAUUGAAACCACGCCCCUCCGCGGCGUUGCUAUGGAGACAAGGGGCACGAAUAGGUCACGUGAUCAAUGUUGACCAAUCAGAGAGUGCGGAAGUGGAAGCCACGCCCCCAGGGAUCGUUGCUAUGGAGAUGUGGGCGGAAGAGGAAGUGUCACGUGGGAAUAACGAGCCAAUCAGAGAGCGGGGAUUGAAACCACGCCCCCUCCGCGGCGUUGUUAUGGAGAUAGGGGGGUAAUGGCAGGGUCACGUGAUAGUAAUGGACCAAUCAGAGGGAUAUAGGGUGUCUAUGGGGUUCUAUGGGGCUCUAUGGGGUCUAUGGGGCUCUAUAGGGGGAUAUGGGGGGAUAUGGGGUGUCUAUGGGGGGAUAUGGGGCCCUAUGUCGUGUCUAUGGGGCUCUAUGGGGUGUCUAUGGGGGGAUAUGGGGCUCUAUGGGGUGUCUAUGGGGGGAUAUGGGGUGUCUAUGGGGCUCUAUGUGUCUAUGGGGCUCUAUGGGGUGUCUAUGGGGCACUAUGGGGCUCUAUGGGGUUAUAUGGGCUCUAUGGGUCCUAUGUAGGAUAUGGGGAGACGGACCAAUCAGAGAGCGAGGAUGGGACAACGCCUCCUGAGCUGCGUUGCCAUGGAGAUAGAAGAGACGGAGAGGUCACGUGGGAAGAGACAGCCAAUCAGAGAGCGAGGGAUGAAACCACGCCCCUAUUCCGCGUUGUUAUGGAGAUAUGGAGAUAAAAAGUGUCACGUGGUUUCCAGGCGACCAAUCAGAAAGAGAAGAGGGGGAAAGCCACGCCCCCUUCUCCGCGUUGCCAUGGAGAUAAUAGGGAGAUGGGUCAUGUGAUUAGAAGGAGCCAAUCAGAGUGCGAGGGUGGAAGCCACGCCCCUCCGCCACGUUGCCAUGGAGAUAGGGGCGGGAAAGGGUUUGUCACGUGAUAAGGUGCAGCCAAUCAGAGAGCUGGGAGAGAAGCCACGCCCCCUGCCCGGCGUUGCCAUGGAAAUAGAAGGGACGUGUGUCAUGUGAUUAGAGUGAGCCAAUCAGAGAGCGGGGUUAUAACCACGCCCCCUUCUCUGCGUUGUUAUGGAGAUAAGGGCGGGAAAGGGUUUGUCACGUGAUAAGCUGCAACCAAUCAGAGACCGCGAUGUGUAGUCACGCCCCUUCGCCGCGUUGCUAUGGAGACGGAGGUGAUAAAGGAUCACGUGAUAGAUUUGGACCAAUCAGAGCGCGAGGAAUGAAACCACGCCCCCUCAGCAUUAAAAAGGCGGAAGUGGAGGCGGACGGGCUUAUCACGUGACAUCUAACGGACCAAUCAGAGCGCGGCUUUGUAUCGCGUCUUUAUCUAGAGCCAAUGGAGAGGGAGGGAGGCGGUGUCACGUGAUGGGCGGCGUCACGUGGUGCGGAGGCAGCCAAUCAGGAGCGAGGCGGCGGCCAUGGCGGACGGGGAGCGAUCCCCGCUGUUGGCGGAUGGAAACGGGGGGAGGAACGGUGGGGGAGGGGAAUAAUGGGGGUCUAUGGGGUUAUAUGGGGGGAUAUGGAGUUAUAUGGGGGCUAUGGGGCUCUAUGGGGUGUCCCCACUCCGUCGCCUCCACCAUAACCCCACAUUAACCCACUAUAACCACCAAUAUCCCU